Long non-coding RNA from Dipodomys spectabilis (banner-tailed kangaroo rat), 129 nucleotides. RefSeq lists it as uncharacterized. The record is from RefSeq and is a predicted model, not a curated record. The transcript is spliced from 3 exons. Lineage: Eukaryota; Metazoa; Chordata; Mammalia; Rodentia; Heteromyidae.
UAGAAGCACAUAGGUAUUGCAGCUUUGUGAUCCUCUCCUAAGAAUAUCUUCCUUUGUUCUCACUCUGUGUGAAUACCUAGAGACAUAUAUAAUUUAUGAUAUCCUAGUGUAUUUUUUCUUUGAACUAUA